This 301-nucleotide ribosomal RNA is filed under the name uncultured bacterium. RNAcentral describes it as "partial 16S ribosomal RNA". It matches the Rfam family "Bacterial small subunit ribosomal RNA", at positions 509 to 807 of the family's 1533-position model. The record is from RNAcentral.
CAGUAGCCGCGGGAAUACGAAGGGGGCUAGCGUUGUUCGGAUUUACUGGGCGUAAAGCGCACGUAGGCGGACUUUUAAGUCAGGGGUGAAAUCCCGGGGCUCAACCCCGGAACUGCCUUUGAUACUGGAAGUCUUGAGUAUGGUAGAGGUGAGUGGAAUUCCGAGUGUAGAGGUGAAAUUCGUAGAUAUUCGGAGGAACACCAGUGGCGAAGGCGGCUCACUGGACCAUUACUGACGCUGAGGUGCGAAAGCGUGGGGAGCAAACAGGAUUAGAUACCCGGGUAGUCCCUGUCUCUUAUAC